Cucurbita maxima (winter squash) is the source of this 671-nucleotide long non-coding RNA. RefSeq lists it as uncharacterized. The transcript has 3 exons. NCBI's taxonomy places the organism in Eukaryota, Viridiplantae, Streptophyta, Magnoliopsida, Cucurbitales, Cucurbitaceae. The record is from RefSeq and is a predicted model, not a curated record.
AGGAUCCAUCAAACCAACGGUCGCAUUGGAAUCCGUGAGUGGUCGAUCUCGAGAAACAAGUCUUACCACUGGUAGAUGAGAUUGGCCGGAACGCGGUUGAUGUUUCGAAUUACGUUCCAUUGUUGCCAACGAUUCUCUUUUGAGGUGGGAGACGAGAGCAGUUUUGCUGAAAUUUGAGAUCUUAACGUCUCUUCUCUCGCUGGAGCACUCGAAAAUGGAAUGGUGGAUCAAGGUAGCUUCUCCCCUGCGAAGAUUUACCUCCCGUGUCGCCUCUCGUCUCGGAUAUCGCAAACGCGGGCUUCUGAAACUAGGGCGAGAUGUGAAGGCGUGCGAAUACGAGGACGUGCACGUGAUGUGGGAGAUGCUGAAGAGAAACGAAACGGAGGCAGUCGGAAUCCCGGAAGGACGACGUCGAAAGAAGAGACCAAUCUGGAAUAUCUUUUGGUGGGCUCGAUCUGCUCCAUGCAUUGGCUGCAGAUUCUGAACAAUCAUCUCACGGUCAGCAUAUUCUUCUUGGUAAAUCCAAGAUGAACACCAUGAAUUUGGGUCAUAUUUGUUGUAAAUCAAUCAGGCAACAAUAAAAGAGAUUGAAAUUUGAUAAACUGGAUUUUGGUGUUUGUCUCAUAUAAUUUCAUCUCAUGCUUUCAUAUGAUUCGUUUAGCCAUUGCCUC